CUACGGGGGGCAGCAGUGGGGAAUAUUGCACAAUGGGGGAAACCCUGAUGCAGCAACGCCGCGUGGAGGAUGACGCAUUUCGGUGUGUAAACUCCUUUUAUUUAGGAAGAAAUUUGACGGUACUAAAUGAAUAAGCACCGGCUAACUCCGUGCCAGCAGCCGCGGUAAUACGGAGGGUGCAAGCGUUACUCGGAAUCACUGGGCGUAAAGGACGCGUAGGCGGUUUGAUAAGUUGGAUGUGAAAUCCUAUGGCUUAACCAUAGAACUGCAUCCAAAACUGUUAGACUAGAGUGAGGGAGAGGUGAAUGGAAUUAGUGGUGUAGGGGUAAAAUCCGUAGAGAUCACUAGGAAUACUCAUAGCGAAGGCGAUUCACUGGAACUUUACUGACGCUGAGGCGUGAAAGCAUGGGGAGCAAACAGGAUUAGAUACCCGUGUAGUC
RNAcentral lists this ribosomal RNA (440 nucleotides) under uncultured bacterium. RNAcentral describes it as "partial 16S ribosomal RNA". It matches the Rfam family "Bacterial small subunit ribosomal RNA", at positions 339 to 795 of the family's 1533-position model. The record is from RNAcentral.